This 22-nucleotide microRNA is filed under the name Bos taurus (domestic cattle). RNAcentral describes it as "bta-miR-2435". The record is from miRBase by way of RNAcentral. Lineage: Eukaryota; Metazoa; Chordata; Mammalia; Artiodactyla; Bovidae.
AAACUCGAAUGAACUCUUUGGC